This 520-nucleotide ribosomal RNA is filed under the name uncultured fungus. Its description in RNAcentral is "SSU rRNA". It matches the Rfam family "Eukaryotic small subunit ribosomal RNA", at positions 32 to 556 of the family's 1831-position model. Lineage: Eukaryota; Fungi. The record is from RNAcentral.
UUGUCUCAAAGAUUAAGCCAUGCAUGUCUAAGUAUAAGCAAUUAUACGGCGAAACUGCGAAUGGCUCAUUAUAUAAGUUAUCGUUUAUUUGAUAGUACUUUACUACUUGGAUAACCGUGGUAAUUCUAGAGCUAAUACAUGCUUAAAAUCCCGACUUCGGAAGGGAUGUAUUUAUUAGAUUAAAAACCAAUGCCCCUCGGGGCUCUCUGGUGAAUCAUGAUAACUAGUCGAAUCGACAGGCCUUGUGCCGGCGAUGGCUCAUUCAAAUUUCUUCCCUAUCAACUUUCGAUGUUUGGGUGUUGUCCAAACAUGGUGGCAACGGGUAACGGAGGGUUAGGGCUCGACCCCGGAGAAGGAGCCUGAGAAACGGCUACUACAUCCAAGGAAGGCAGCAGGCGCGCAAAUUACCCAAUCCCGACACGGGGAGGUAGUGACAAUAAAUACUGAUACAGGGCUCUUUUGGGUCUUGUAAUCGGAAUGAGUACAAUUUAAAUCCCUUAACGAGGAACAAUUGGAGGGC